UGGGGAAUUUUGGACAAUGGGGGAAACCCUGAUCCAGCCAUCCCGCGUGUGCGAUGAAGGCCUUCGGGUUGUAAAGCACUUUUGGCAGGAAAGAAACGUCAUGGGUUAAUACCCCGUGAAACUGACGGUACCUGCAGAAUAAACACCGGCUAACUACGUGCCAGCAGCCGCGGUAAUACGUAGGGUGCAAGCGUUAAUCGGAAUUACUGGGCGUAAAGCGUGCGCAGGCGGUUCGGAAAGAAAGAUGUGAAAUCCCAGAGCUCAACUUUGGAACUGCAUUUUUAACUACCGGGCUAGAGUGUGUCAGAGGGAGGUGGAAUUCCGCGUGUAGCAGUGAAAUGCGUAGAUAUGCGGAGGAACACCGAUGGCGAAGGCAGCCUCCUGGGAUAACACUGACGCUCAUGCACGAAAGCGUGGGGAGCAAACAGG
This 429-nucleotide ribosomal RNA is filed under the name Acidobacteriota bacterium. RNAcentral describes it as "Acidobacteria bacterium partial 16S ribosomal RNA". It matches the Rfam family "Bacterial small subunit ribosomal RNA", at positions 355 to 776 of the family's 1533-position model. The record is from RNAcentral. Lineage: Bacteria; Pseudomonadati; Acidobacteriota.